UACGUAGGGUGCAAGCGUUGUCCGGAAUUAUUGGGCGUAAAGAGCUCGUAGGCGGUCUGUUGCGUCGGCUGUGAAAACCCGGGGCUCAACCCCGGGCCUGCAGCCGAUACGGGCAGACUAGAGUUCGGUAGGGGAGACUGGAAUUCCUGGUGUAGCGGUGAAAUGCGCAGAUAUCAGGAGGAACACCGAUGGCGAAGGCAGGUCUCUGGGCCGAUACUGACGCUGAGGAGCGAAAGCGUGGGGAGCGAACAGG
Molecule: ribosomal RNA, 253 nt
Filed under: uncultured bacterium
Lineage: Bacteria
Description: partial 16S ribosomal RNA
Rfam family: Bacterial small subunit ribosomal RNA
Source: RNAcentral